AAAAUCGUUAAAAAGAAUGUAUGAACAAUGUAGUCCAACUUUCUUUUAUACGAAAUUACGGAUAUUUCUAGCCGGUUGGAAGAACAACAAAUCGCUUCCAGAUGGAAUUAUUUAUGAAGGAGUGAGCUCAAAACCAUUUAAGUUUUCAGGAGCAAGUGCAUCGCAAAGUACUACAUUUCAUUUGUUUGAUGCCGCUCUUGGCAUUACGCACCAAG
Molecule: long non-coding RNA, 215 nt
Organism: Dendronephthya gigantea
Lineage: Eukaryota; Metazoa; Cnidaria; Anthozoa; Malacalcyonacea; Nephtheidae
Exons: 4
Source: RefSeq, a predicted model, not a curated record